GUUAGACAGGCUGAAAAUUGCUCUGUCCUGGAAUUUGCACACGAGGAUCUCUUACAGAUUACACUAGAGCAGACUGAGAGGGAGUACACAUGAGUAAAUUUAGUUUGCCUGAAAUUAAACCAGCAUUGAUGAGAGCAGGAUUUGGUCCUUAGAUCCUCAAUUGAGGGCACCUGUGUUUGGAAAGGGUUUAACUUACUGCUGUGCUUCAGAGAGCACCUUCCUAAUUUACUGGCUUCAUGCACAGUAUUGAAUGGUGGCAAAUUAACUAGAGGACUUGAUAAAAGGCAGUGUUGGCCCUACAGUGCCUCCUGGGAUGGAAUAUGAGCCAUUUUGUGGCUCUGAGUUGCUGAUUUCUCAUUGCUUGUGCUGGCUGCAGUAUUAUGAGGGCUGGAGUGGAAAACAACCAAGGGAAAUGGCAAAAAUGAACCAGUGAGUGCUAACUUAAGAAAAUCUGGUGUUACCCAGUCAGAAACACAUGGAACUCCCUAGUCUUGCUCCUGUCAUUAGUUUCACCUACUAAGGGAUGAACCUGGAGCUAUUUGGAAGGAUGCCAGCCACAACACAAAACAUGUAUGGGAAAGGAGUGAAUUCAGAUCUCUCAAGUACUGAUCUGGUGACUUAACUAUAAAGCAGACUUCCUUUUCAUUAAUAUAGAGUGCUCUGAAUGUGCCUCAGGCUAUUUAAGGGAUCUGAGGGUAAGAUCAGUCUGUUUACCGUGCCAUGUAUUGCAGAAGCAAAAACAUCUAACUGGAAUAUUAAAAGAUCUAUGGUGAUUAGUAAACCUAAUUGAGAAAUCUGGAUGCUAUAUCCCAAAUAAUGAUGUAACAAUGGUAUCCUUAAUGAUCAAGAAUACUUUUAUAGGUGUCUUAUUGUAUGUGGGACGUCUUAAAAUUGACUGGACUGCAAAGUUUAUUGUUGAAGUCCUUUCUGUUUCAUAAAUCAACAAGUCAAAAGCUGUAUUAACAAUGAAAUUGAAUUUCUAUUAACUGGAUAAAGAGAGACUUCAAACGCCUCUAGUUGUAUAUAAGCAAGUGCUUUUAAAGAAGGGUGUUCUUGUAAAUCAAGUUGUGGAUCUUAAUAUGUUUUUCGAUUAGAAGGAGUAAAAGUAAAGCAUACAAUUAGUUUCCAAAUUUUAGUUGUAAGCUUAAGUUCUGUGAAUGAUACUGGACCUGGUGACUUCACUGUGCAUAUCUGCCUUUAAUGUCAAAUGCUCAACUUCAGAAACAAAAAUCUGCUCCUUGCAUGAUUUUUAUCACCAGUGGACUUCCACUGAUCCAUGUGUUCCCUGAUCUGCCUGCUGCGAUUGUACUGGGGCCUCCAGGGAAAUAUAUAACUUAUCUGUACAGUUCAGUUAUAAAAAGUUUGGAUUCUUGAAUGACAUUUGCUGAGGGCACUCAUUAGAAAAACUAUUGCUAUGCAGAGGUAGGGAUAUCCGUGAUAUCUAUGUACCCAUUUUUUUUUUCAUCCUUGGGGUUUUCCUAUGCAUUCUGUAUCUCAGACUUAAAAGCAAAAAGCCAUGAAAAAUUUCUCAGGAAGAUCUGUUCUUAAUUCUCAUG
Long non-coding RNA from Lagopus muta (rock ptarmigan), 1556 nucleotides. RefSeq lists it as uncharacterized. Lineage: Eukaryota; Metazoa; Chordata; Aves; Galliformes; Phasianidae. The transcript has 4 exons. The record is from RefSeq and is a predicted model, not a curated record.